Molecule: transfer RNA, 80 nt
Filed under: Jaminaea rosea
Lineage: Eukaryota; Fungi; Basidiomycota; Exobasidiomycetes; Microstromatales
Rfam family: tRNA
About the family: Transfer RNA (tRNA) molecules are approximately 80 nucleotides in length. Their secondary structure includes four short double-helical elements and three loops (D, anti-codon, and T loops).
Source: Rfam by way of RNAcentral
GCGCGGAUGGGGUAGUGGUAACCUAGUUGCUUGCCACUUGCGUUCUGCAAUUGCCACGGGUUCGAUUCCCGUUCCGCGCA